Molecule: ribosomal RNA, 445 nt
Filed under: uncultured bacterium
Lineage: Bacteria
Description: bacterial SSU rRNA
Rfam family: Bacterial small subunit ribosomal RNA
Source: RNAcentral
CCAGACUCCUACGGGAGGCAGCAGUAGGGAAUCUUUCACAAUGGGCGAAAGCCUGAUGGAGCAACGCCGCGUGCAGGAUGAAGGCCUUCGGGUUGUAAACUGCUUUUAUAAGCGAGAAAUAUGAUGGUAACUUAUGAAUAAGGAUCGGCUAACUCCGUGCCAGCAGCCGCGGUAAUACGGAGGAUGCGAGCGUUAUCCGGAUUUAUUGGGUUUAAAGGGUGCGUAGGCGGAAUGCCAAGUCAGCGGUAAAAUCGCGGGGCUCAACCUCGCUCCGCCGUUGAAACUGGCGUUCUUGAGUGGGCGAGAAGUAUGCGGAAUGCGUGGUGUAGCGGUGAAAUGCAUAGAUAUCACGCAGAACUCCGAUUGCGAAGGCAGCAUACCGGCGCCCAACUGACGCUGAAGCACGAAAGCGUGGGUAUCGAACAGGAUUAGAUACCCGUGUAUC